AACGAACGCUGGCGGCAUGCCUUACACAUGCAAGUCGAACGGCAGCACGGGAGCAAUCCUGGUGGCGAGUGGCGAACGGGUGAGUAAUGUAUCGGAACGUGCCCAGUCGUGGGGGAUAACGCAGCGAAAGCUGUGCUAAUACCGCAUACGAUCUAUGGAUGAAAGCGGGGGAUCGCAAGACCUCGCGCGAUUGGAGCGGCCGAUAUCCGAUUAGGUAGGUGGUGGGGUAAAGGCCCACCAAGCCGACGAUCGGUAGCUGGUCUGAGAGGACGACCAGCCACACUGGACCUGAGACACGGUCCAGACUCCUACGGGAGUCAGCAGUGGGGAAUUUUGGACAAUGGGCGCAAGCCUGAUCCAGCAAUGCCGCGUGCAGGAUGAAGGCCUUCGGGUUGUAAACUGCUUUUGUACGGUACGAAACGGUUCUCUCUAAUACAGGGGGCUAAUGACGGUACCGUAAGAAUAAGCACCGGCUAACUACGUGCCAGCCGCCGCGGUAA
Molecule: ribosomal RNA, 500 nt
Filed under: uncultured bacterium
Lineage: Bacteria
Description: partial 16S ribosomal RNA
Rfam family: Bacterial small subunit ribosomal RNA
Source: RNAcentral